UUCUCAACUCAUAGGUGUGUGUGCGGCUCAUUCAUCGUGCUCAUCGAUCAUCAUCCACAUGGUUGCAGACAUCAAUGGAGUCUGUACGGUAAAGCGCGAUUGACAUGCCGGGAUACGCGUACUCACUGAAGGAUUUGGGUACAUUCCUUUAGGCUUCAUUGGUUGGUUGGUGGCAUCUGAGGCCCACUGAAUUGUAUGAAAUAGACACAGGUGGAUCAAUAAGAGACUUAUCUGAGCAUGUUGGUUAUGCUACCAUACACCGUAGGGUCGGGUGUUUCUUCCGAAUUUAGUUACAAUGAAGAAAGGAAAACAUUCUAGCGAGACGUUUUAAGAAAGAAUAUAAAAAGUAGAAGAGAAAUGAAGUACACAUAUGAACCAAAUGUGGUUAAACUUCUCUUUCAAGCAGAGCUCCAACGCCAUAAUGCAAAGGAAUCCAAAUCUUUCUACUUUCUUUUGCUCUUCAUGUUCAACGGUGUAGAUCAAUUCUGAUCACUU
Cucurbita pepo subsp. pepo (vegetable marrow) is the source of this 495-nucleotide long non-coding RNA. RefSeq lists it as uncharacterized. NCBI's taxonomy places the organism in Eukaryota, Viridiplantae, Streptophyta, Magnoliopsida, Cucurbitales, Cucurbitaceae. The record is from RefSeq and is a predicted model, not a curated record.